Molecule: long non-coding RNA, 1963 nt
Organism: Dermochelys coriacea (leatherback sea turtle)
Lineage: Eukaryota; Metazoa; Chordata; Testudines; Dermochelyidae
Exons: 3
Source: RefSeq, a predicted model, not a curated record
CAUCAUUGUAGGAACUCUGCCUCCCUGAGCGAUGAUAGUUAGCUCCCCGGAAAUAUUCUUCCAUUGACCUAAGCACAGGUGUUAUGUCAGCACAAUUACGUCACUUGUGGGUGAAAAAUUGGGCAUAGCUGGGAAACUCAAGACAGAGAAUUUUUUAUCCUCCUGAGCAACGUCAAUCUAAGUUUUUAGUGUAGAUCAGGCCUUAUUGGAUUUAGUUUUGAUUUGAGAAGACUCAGGCCCAAUGUGUAAUUUUUCUACAAGAUAAAAAUUCUAUUUGAAAAACUAACUCACUAUCAUUUGUACAGAGAUAAGGAAAAUUGAAUUAAUUAUAUUCCUGUCUAUUCCAUCUUGGCAUCAGAGCACAAUAUUUAAGAUUGACCCUAAUAAAUGUAGACAUAAAAUCUAGUAGAAGGAAACGGCAUUAAAUAGUGUAAUGCCUGUCUUUUUUUUGUGUUUGCACUCCAGAUCAGCACAUCUGUGUAUCUGAUUUGGUGUACAGAUGACAUUUGAUAUUUUCUCUUUUUACAGGAUAUUUAAGAAUGUAAAUUGCUGUUAAAAUUGUUUGAAUCUAGUCUUUUAAGUGUUAAGAAUGUAAGCUUCGUAGUUGGAUCAUGACUUUUGUGUUUGUGGGUAUGUUUAAAUUCAUCCAAGUUUAAUAGUCGCUAAAUUUAAUCCAAUAUUGAGAAGACAAACUCUCAAGAGAGCGGAGAAGGAUUUAAAGGGAAAAGAGUCUAGCUGUAAUUUUCAUAUACAUUUCAUAUUUAGUUACGGCUGAUGUGCUGUAGUUACAUUUACACAUGAAUUUUGAACUGACUGUAUGGUUCAAGCAUUCAUUAGUACUGUAGAUUUUUAGACACUUUGCUACUUACAGACCAUUGUUAAAUAUUCCUAUAUGAACAUCUUGCUUGCAAAAUCUGCUCACUAAAUUAUUCAAUUGAAUCUAGUUAUGUGUUCUUUACUAAUCCCACAGCAUACUGUAAAAUUAGUCACGGAUUACUGUCUGCAUCUGGUUGGUGCUACUGGUAGUGAUGUAAUUUCAGCCUUUUGUCACAAGAAUAGAUACAGUUAAUGACUUUAAUUGGGUUCAUUGCUUAAUAUACCUGAAAAUAGUUCCAUGUUUGACUUGGGGGGGGGGGGGGUGUUUAAGGCUUUGUUUUAGUUAGCCCAUUUUGAAAGUAUACGUUUUAAAAUUAUUAUUUGGGAAAUGGAAACAUUUAGUUAUGCACAGCGAGACAAUAGUCGGUAUUUUUUUUUAAUUGAUCACUGUAUGAAGUAACUUUCUUAUCUAUUUUAUUUCACAUAUACUAGCUGUUACAUUUUUCUUUAAAUGGUCUUUUUUUAAAAUGUUUUAAAAGUAGGCUUAAAAGAUUUGUUGUGAUUCCUUUAAGGCUUAAAAAAAGAAUUGGAGUCUUGUGGCACCUUAUAGACUAACAGACAUAUUGGAGCAUAAGCUUUUGUGGGUGAAUACCCACUUCGUUGGAUGCUUGUCAUCGUCUUCUUCUUAGGAGUAGAAGUCCUUGUUUGAAUGUGAGUGAAGAUCUGGUACAUUUUUAUGCUUUUUCUCUUGGGCUUAUUAUAGCAUUGCCUAUUAUACACCAUGCGUCUCUGUCAUUUGCUUGUCAGUUAAUAUAACAUAACUCUGAUUGUGUUUUUGUGAAAUGCAUAUUCAGAAGCAUGUUAAGCAUUUUUUCAUAAUAAUUUUGUAUCAAUGCAUGUGCUUUGUUUAAAAUACUAUGUUCAGGUAUAAUGACCGAUAAUAAGGCUUUUUUACAUUGUAUUCAAUAUGUUUCACUGUAUUGACUCUACAUCAUUGGAUGACUUCAGUGAGAGCUAUUGGGUGAUCAACACUUUCGAAAAUCAGGCCACUUAUUUAUCUGUUCAUUUAAAUAUGGAUUUAAGAGCCUAACUUUAGACACCCAUUUUGGAAAUCUUGGUCUGUUUUUGAUAUAUGUUUGUUUAUACC